RNAcentral lists this ribosomal RNA (395 nucleotides) under Bacillus licheniformis. RNAcentral's name for it is "bacterial SSU rRNA". It matches the Rfam family "Bacterial small subunit ribosomal RNA", at positions 36 to 420 of the family's 1533-position model. Lineage: Bacteria; Bacillati; Bacillota; Bacilli; Caryophanales; Bacillaceae. The record is from RNAcentral.
CUGGCUGCCUGCUCUAUACAUGCAGUCGAGCGGAGAGAUGGGAGCUUGCUCCCCUGAUGUCAGCGGCGGACGGGUGAGUAACACGUGGGUAACCUGCCUGUAAGACUGGGAUAACUCCGGGAAACCGGGGCUAAUACCGGAUGCUUGAUUGAACCGCAUGGUUCAAUUAUAAAAGGUGGCUUUUAUCUACCACUUACUAAUGGACCCGCGGCGCAUUAGCUAGUUGGUGAGGUAACGGCUCACCAAGGCAACGAUGCGUAGCCGACCUGAGAGGGUGAUCGGCCACACUGGGACUGAGACACGGCCCAAACUCCUACGGGAGGCAGCAGUAGGGAAUCUUCCGCAAUGGACGAAAGUCUGACGGACCAACGCCGCGUGAGUGAUGAAGGUUUUCG